AAAUUGAGAGGAUAUCACAGGACUGGAAUUUAUUUGCGCAGUCAAUAGCAGGAAGAACAACGUGAGGUCAUCAACUAUCACCAUGAUUAUCUACUCAACUCGGGAACAACAACAAGGAAGUUGUAGGAGAUUGUUUCUGAGUUUUGAUGAAAUUGACAGAACAUCACAGGACUGUCGGAUUAAUCGGCACAAUCGAUAGCAGGAAGAAACACUGAUGUCAUCAACCAUGACCAUGAUUAUCUACUUGGCCCAGGAACAACAACAAGGAAGUUUUAGGAGAUUGUCUCUGAGUUUUGAUGAAAUUGAGAGAACAUCACUGGACUGUCGGAUUUAUCGGCGCAAUCGAUAGCAGGAAGAAAGCACUGUGAUGUCAUCAACCAUGACCAUGAUUAUCUACUCAGCCCAGGAACAACAACAAGGAAGUUGUAGGAGAUUGUCUCUGAGUUUUGAUGAAAUUGACAGAACAUCACAGGACUGGAAUUAGCGCAAUCAAUAGCAGGAAGAAAGCACUGUGAUGUCAUCAACCAUGACCAUGAUUAUCUACUCAGCCCAGGAACAACAACAAGGAAGUUUUAGAUCAAGUCUUGAAGAUCAAGAUUUGCAGCUCAAGAUCAAGAACAGAACCUCAGAGAUUAAGAUCAGAUGUGUUCCGAGUCAAGAUAGAGAUCACAAGACCAGGAGAACAACCUUCAUUGCUGAAGUUCUCAUCUGAAGUAAAAAGUGUAAUUGAUAAAUGUCACAAUUUUCCUGGUUUCCCAGAUGAGUAUCAUGUUUUUAUGAAUUUUCAAAUUAGCUGGCUUUAAAAUUAGUCAUUGUGUUUUUCACUGACCUGGGACCGGUGAAGAAAGAGUUGCGACACUUGUGACACAAGUCAGAAUAUCAAUCGCAAGUCUCAAGUGCAUGCUGUUGAUUGGUUGAUAAUCAAGUUGCGUUUGAUUUUGAGAGUUGUGUUUGAUUGCAACUCAUUCCCCAAUGCCUUGGGCCAUUGAACUCUUUGAUGUUAUUCUCACAAAUAGUAUUGGGAUUACAUGCGUUAAAACGUGAAAAAACAAAUUCCAGGUUACGUUAUUUUUAUUUUGUUAUUAUUAUCAUUAUUACAUGGAAAUAACUCACAUAUUUAUCGCUGGGCAAUAUUUUUUGCCAUGUUUUCUUUGCAAAUUUUUGUUAUAGCUUUCUAUCUGUAAUAGUUUUGUGACACAGCAGUCAUAGCCAAAACAUAGCUAGAGAAAGAAAUUACCAAAAGUUCAAGGGUUGUAAGUUUUUGUUCAUUUAAGAUUCAAAUUCAUUAUUUUGAAACCAAGAAAGUAUUUAAUAUUUUCUACAUUCCGACUCAUGUAAUCCCAACCCCGCUCAAAUUGUCUGAUGUGACAGAAUUCAGGUCUGUGAGAAGUUAAUGAAACUUAUGUUUAGACUUAUUUUCAAAGCCUGCUUUAUCUGAGUUUUUCUUCAGAAAAUACUCAACUGGCAAGUGACGACAGUGCAUAAAACUUCAUUGUGUUUUGUAGUUUAAUAAAAGGGCUUUUUAUUAGUAUACCGUUUGUCAAUUUCACUUUUUGCUUCGGAUGGAGUCUACAAAGAAUAACAAACAAGGAAAUUGAAAUGGAAUAUGCAGAAACCAUGGUAAGACAAUUGCAAAAACAUAGAUUUAGUACAGUGUUUCCACAGCUAAAAAACAGAUUUGCUGGAAAUGAAUAACCUGGAAUUUUGAAGUUUAUUUUUUUUUAAAUAGAUGGUACAUGGCCCUGCAUGAACCAGGCCUAAUGACCAAAAUUCAAGGGCCUGUAUUCUGAAGUCAGACCAUGGUCUAACUCUGUGCUAAAAUUAUGGGAAGCCAAAUGUGUCAACAUUUUUAUUAAGUUGUAUGUUUCUUAUAUUUACUGUGCUCUUUCCUGAUUCUUCAAUGGUAAAGACAAUCAUCUAUUUAUACUUCCUAGACAAUUAUGAAUGAUUUGAGAGCCAAUGAGCUGAAAUAUGAUAUCUCUACUGUAAGUGAUUCAUGUAACAAUUGGCUAUCCAUACUUAAACCACAACUUUAAACUUGAGUUUAAGUUAAACCCGACUUCAAAAUGCACCCCAAGGAGUCUUAAGGGCUCCUUUUUUUUUACACACUUAAAAUGGGGACAAAAUCACGAAUAAAGAGCGAGCAGAAAAAGAAUUUGAGCUAUAUAAUGAGGAAAAUUAUUGUGAGUUUAGAUUUUUAGAGUUUUGGGAUAUUUAUUUAUGUUUCUCAAAAUUACCAAGAGAUAAUAAAUUUCCCAGAAUUCAGGAAAUUUCCUAAGGGUGGAAACACUGGAUUAGUAUACAAUAAUCAACCACUUUUGACCUGCAAACAUGGGUGAUAAGCAUGACGCUACGUACUAGAAUCCCAUCCUGUCAUGCGUUGCAAUGCAAGAAGAGUUUAUCAAAAUUACCAAAUCAGAAGAAAAACGGUGUAGUUUUCAUUCUUUCACAAAAAUCAAAUAUUUGUGGCAUUAUUUAGGGUGAGGAAAUCAUCACAAAAAAAUUGUUUAGAAUACUCCAAGAUCAAAGGAGGAUUACUUGUUUUGAUAAAUCUGUAUGAGCAUGGUGUCCUUAAUUGUAAUGACCGUUAGUCACCUCUGCUGUCUACCGCGCUCUGCAACAAAAAUUGGUAUGCAUGUCACCUACAAUGUUACCUACAGACUGUACACUUAAUUUUGAUUAUUAAUCAUUAAGCUUUAUAUUUAUGCAUAAAUUAGAUGCUCUAAUUAUUCAAAUACAGCUCCAAACUUUUGUUUCUGGAUGCUUUGUGGGAUUCUUAUCAGACUUUCCUUUGAAAACGAAAUUGUGAAGUUUAUAAUUUUUAAAAUUUCCUAUUUAUUUCAAUCAUUUUUAAAAUUUAUUUUGUUUUUCAAAAUUGCUGAUGAUACUAUUUCAAUCUUAAAUAACAUGAUUUUGAUUUAAGCAUUUGAAGCAGAAAAUACUGAAACAUUCAUAAAUCUAAGUUUUAAGAUUUGAGUAUUCAUUAAAUUGAAAAUUUAUGAAUCGACUGAAAACGUCUACCUAACACGGGAGAUUUCCAUUACGGUAUGUACCGGUAAAUGAAAGUGAAUGAACUAAAUGCCAGCUACUUAUGAACCCAGUGUUUAAAUAUGUUUUGAUUACUUUUGCGUAGAUCCAAGGAGCAGGUCCAAGCUAUUAUCUCUUUGCUGGCAUACUAUGUAGGACAUGAUUAUUACUAGGAGUAAAAAAAUUGAUAUGUGCAUAAGGUUGGAAAUUAUUUCAAUUAUCAUGAAGUUUAUAAUUAUUAAUAUGUGGGUUAUUAUGCCUAGUAGUUUUUUGUGAAGUUAACUUAAUUUGCUACCUUCUCUUGAUAAAGUUAAGGCCCUGACACAUCCUUCUGUGCAAACCUUGCAGGUAAGUUGUGGGCAGUCGGUAGAGCGGGGGACUCGUAUUCCGGUGACCCGGGUUCGAUUCCCACUUGGUGCGCUAGUGCCCUUUGGUAAGGCAUUAAUCCUCAGUACCAGGUCCUUCGGAGGGGACCUUAAGCCAUCGGUCCUCUGGUUGCUUGCUUACAAGCAUUCAUGCUUUCUUAGCAAUCAGGUAAAAAAAAUCACCACCAAUCAAUCUCCUGCAACAAAAUGCUUUCUUUGUUGGAAAAUCAGACUUUGUUGCACUCUUGUAGGCAACUGUGUGCGAGAUACUGUUAAUGCAGGCUACCUACAGAUAGCAAAAAGAUACCGCAAGCUACAUGUAAGGCAUGAAGGGAACGAUGUGACAAGACCUUUUAAUGGUAAUUGUUGGGGGGGGGGGUAGUGUAUGUUGACUAUUUCUGCAAAAGUGGAUCCAAAGGUUUUCCAGAGUUUUUGCCUCUUGAGUUUUAUCUCUGGUUUUUUACCCUGGAGCUACUUGUCGUAGAAUUGUAUACCCCCCCCCUCCCCCAUUUUCUUUGCAAUACUUUAUAUAUACUUAUUUCCCAUGAAUAAUGUUGAUAUGUUCUGUCCAAUCUAAUGAUAUGUAAAUUUUCAUUUUCAUUUUCAUUUUUUAUCUAAAUUAUAGAUAACGGGUAUUUCAAAUGCACAGUAUAGGGAAGUUUGUUAUUAACCUAUAAAAUUCAAUCAAUAUAUUACAGAAGAUAUUGUCAUGCAUUCAAAGGUCACAGAUGACAAAUAUGUUAUUUAAAUAUCAUGUUCAUGCAACCACUGAAGAACUGUUUGAGGGAUCAACUUCAUUUAGAUUGGAGUGGCAAGAAUCUGAUUAGAUUUGGAGUCAAUAUGUACCAGAAAUAUGUUUGUUCCCAUGAUAAAGAACCAUGUAAGGGUUCAACUUCAAAAUUGGCUUGUGUAUGCAUGCGGGUGUAACAAAAUAAUUGAAUACUUGUUUCAUGUAUUCAUAUCAGAAGCACAGUGAUUUGGGGUUAUGAGGUCAAAAGUCACAGAGGUCAUUUUGAACUUUUUUUUUUUUUUCAAUAAGUAAAGAACCAUUUGAGGGUUAUUGUAUGCCCAAAAAUAUUUCUUUCUCACAAAAACUGAAGAUGUUUUAAUACUUUAAUUUCAACUUAUAUGGAUGCGAGUGAGGAUCUGUUUUGAUUAUUUUAGUCACAAGGUCAAAUGUCCUGGAGGCCAUUAUUUGAAAUUAUGAAAUAUGUAUUUCAAUGGCAGAGGCAUUAUUUUACUGUAUGCAAUUGAGAGUUGAUUUAGUUUAUUUCAAUGUUCUCAUAGUCUCAGUAAUGUAUGGUGCCAGUUAUGUUUAUAUAGGUAUUAGAUGCUUCAAAAGUUUAUGACUCCUAGAGAAACAAUUCUGGGAAAAGUUUCAUGAAUUGUUAAAUAACACUCAAAUCUUGCAUACAUGUAAGUGUUUAAUGCACAGCCCCAUCUUCAGUAGAGUUCGUCCUGUUUGGGAGAUCUAACCAAUAUGGCGAUACCUUAAUUUUCACAUGCAAAUGAAAAUUUUAGAGCAUAUUGAGACAUUCUCAAAUUUUUGUGAAACCCCUCUUUAAUUUGUCUAUUACCUGUAUGUAAAAUAGUUUUGACCUGCCCGACAUGUACUGUAUAUUAGGGACAGUGAUUUUCUGUUUAAUACCUGUAAAUCAAAAUGGAAGAUUAUUUUUGUUUGUCUUCUUUUCAUGUGAUAUUUCAUUGAGUUUACCUUUGCAAACUGAAUUCAUGCCUUUGCUUUGUACAAACACAGAAUCUCCAUUUUAAAUCAAGUUUGAAACAGAAUUGUAGGUUUUCAGAAACGGAAAUGACCAUGUUUUGAAAUGGAAAAUCUCUGUCCCUGCCCAUAGUCUUUGAUUGUACUAUAUGCUUGCUUUGUAUUCAUGAUUUUUGUUAUUUCUUGAAAAAGAAUGUAAGACCAGCAGCCCAGAAGAUUCAUUCAAUAUACGGACCAUAGCAGUUGACCCCAAUCGAUGGUGGUAGGCCCUAAACCUUGCAAACAUGGCUUCCUGUCUGGUUUGAGCUGGGAUCUUCCUGCCAGAAUCACACAAUUAGCGACAUCACUACCAAGAGAUAUAUUUUUCAGUGUGCAGAGAAGGGCAUUGGACACUGUUGUGCAUGGUAUACAACUUGCCACAAUGUAAGUGCUUUAAUAAUGAUUUCAAUGAUAUUUUUGUAGCCUUAAGUAUGUGAGACAAUGCAAUCAGUUUUCCAGUUUAUGUACUGAGGGCAAUAACUUUUGUGAAAAUAUUGGGCAGCAAUUUUCCCCAUAUCAGGAUUUUUUUCUCUUUUCUUUUAAUGAUUGUAAUCCCUUCUCUUUACCUUUACUGUUUUUUCCCCCAUUUAUUUAUCUUUUUGUUGGCUGUACAAGGUAUGUCAAUCCAUUGAUAGUCCUUUUUUAUAUACCUCCCAGUACUAUUUGUUCUAGCUGUUGCUCUAACUUUCUUUUUGUUUCACAUUGCUGCAACAUGAUAUCUGCCAUGACUGAUUUAGUAACGUGCUAAGAAGAUAAACAAUUUUUAUAAGAAAUUUUUAUAUACAGACAUUGAUUUUUUUAAUUGCAGAGCAAUGAUAGAGCAAUGUGAAUGAUUUUGCAAUAUAUAUUCUCUUUUCUGUAUGUGUUAUUUUUUUGGGUCAGACUAAUUUGAAUAAAUAUUUCAAACUUUAUCACAGUCAUUUCACCAUGUACGUACAUAAACCUCAUGUUUGCUGAGUGUGUAUCCAUCAUGUAUUCACAGAAUGUGAAGAGAUAUUGUGGACUGCACGAAUGUUAAGAUAUGUGAUGAUCAAGGUAGAUUCUCAAUAUAGGUUUGUCUGCCCAAAUCUUCAACUUCGGAUUUAAAAUUUUCACCCAUUUUUAUGAGGGUUGUACACUUCAAUGAGUUUUUUCCACAAUGUGUAAAAAAAAAAUGCUCCUUCAAUCAGAGCAAUAUAAGUAAGUCUGGAAUCUUGUUUCAGAAGUGGAAUGUCAAACUUUUAUUUCUAGAGCCUUCCCAGAGUAGUGUUUCAAGUUGACCCCUAUUGAUAUUUGAAAUAUUGAUGGAGCAGUGUUGUCAAUAUGGCUUUGGAGCUUGGUGCCAUUGGUCAAGAUCGAUGAAAAACUGGUUUGCACUCCAAAUCGACGCAGAUAAUCAUUUGUUCUGCACAAAGAGAAGAGAGAGGAACUGGCGAUGUGUGUUUGAAGAGAGUACUGCUGUCUUCCUGAAAGUAGUUUCAGUUGCAUAUGACAUCUUUAUAUUUGGUGUUUGGAAUCUGGUUAUGUUGUGAUGAUCUUCAUGUACUAUCUGACCACAAGGAAUGGUGUUCCUUUCAGCUUACGCAUGAUAUCCAGCUCUUCAAAACCUCAUGCACUUCUUGGACUCACAGAUGCUGAUCUCUUGUGAGAGUGUUGGCCUCUUUGUGAUGGCAUUAGAGGAAUUCUCAUCGGAUCUAGUUCCAGUUGGUCAAUUUUGUCUUUUCCAGCCAUUUGACAUUUUCCUGUGUUUAUUGGAUUUCCCAUUUAUUUGACUCUGAUGAAAUGAAAGGCAAUGUGAAGUCUUGGUAUUACAGAGUCAGAGUCAAUAAAGACUAUUUUUUGCUCCUCAUGCAUGCCUAUAUUGUCACCAAAAGGGAAGCUACAUACAUCUGAUACAUUUUCUGACUUAGUCAGUAACUCUAGCUAUUAAACCACAUUGCACUUGUUUGAAUUCUGAUAAAGCAGAUUCUUAAAGUCUUUGUCAACAUGUGUCCAGGAGGAAACACUCUUUGGAAUGAAAUUUGAAUAGAUUUCCUGUUCAGAGGAAAUUUCAUCACAUUCAGGUAUUCAGAAAUGUAAUCCCUUAAAGUGAGGGGAAAUUAUUUUAUUUCACCCUAUAUAUAGCCCAGGCUAUUUUAAAAUUACAUA
Molecule: long non-coding RNA, 7278 nt
Organism: Lytechinus pictus (painted urchin)
Lineage: Eukaryota; Metazoa; Echinodermata; Echinoidea; Temnopleuroida; Toxopneustidae
Exons: 5
Source: RefSeq, a predicted model, not a curated record